RNAcentral lists this ribosomal RNA (540 nucleotides) under uncultured marine eukaryote. RNAcentral describes it as "bacterial SSU rRNA". It matches the Rfam family "Bacterial small subunit ribosomal RNA", at positions 349 to 902 of the family's 1533-position model. The record is from RNAcentral.
CAGCAGUGGGGAAUUUUCCGCAAUGGGCGAAAGCCUGACGGAGCAAUACCGCGUGAGGGAAGACGGCCUAUGGGUUGUAAACCUCUUUUUUCAGGGAGGAAGAUAUGACGUGUACCUGAAGAAUAAGCAUCGGCUAACUCCGUGCCAGCAGCCGCGGUAAGACGGAGGAUGCAAGUGUUAUCCGGAAUCACUGGGCGUAAAGCGUCUGUAGGUGGUUUAAUAAGUCGGCUGUUAAAUCUUGAGGCUUAACUUCAAAACUGCAGUUGAAACUAUUAAACUAGAGUAUAGUAGGGGUAAAGGGAAUUUCCAGUGGAGCGGUGAAAUGCGUAGAUAUUGGAAAGAACACCGAUGGCGAAGGCACUUUACUGGGCUAUUACUGACACUCAGAGACGAAAGCUAGGGUAGCAAAUGGGAUUAGAUACCCCAGUAGUCCUAGCCGUAAACAAUGGAUACUAGAUGUUGAACAGAUCGACCUGUGCAGUAUUAAAGCUAACGCGUUAAGUAUCCCGCCUGGGAAGUAUGCUCGCAAGAGUGAAACUC